GUGGGGAAUCUUAGACAAUGGGGGCAACCCUGAUCUAGCCAUGCCGCGUGAUCGAUGAAGGCCUUAGGGUUGUAAAGAUCUUUCAGCUGGGAAGAUAAUGACUGUACCAGCAGAAGAAGCCCCGGCUAACUCCGUGCCAGCAGCCGCGGUAAUACGGAGGGGGCUAGCGUUGUUCGGAAUUACUGGGCGUAAAGCGCACGUAGGCGGAUUGGAAAGUUGGGGGUGAAAUCCCGGGGCUCAACCCCGGAACUGCCUUCAAAACUCCCAGUCUUGAGGUCGAGAGAGGUGAGUGGAAUUCCGAGUGUAGAGGUGAAAUUCGUAGAUAUUCGGAGGAACACCAGUGGCGAAGGCGGCUCACUGGCUCGAUACUGACGCUGAGGUGCGAAAGCGUGGGGAGCAAACAGGAUUAGAUACCCCUGUAGUCC
This 425-nucleotide ribosomal RNA is filed under the name uncultured bacterium. RNAcentral describes it as "partial 16S ribosomal RNA". It matches the Rfam family "Bacterial small subunit ribosomal RNA", at positions 354 to 796 of the family's 1533-position model. The record is from RNAcentral.